CCCAGACUCCUACGGGAGGCAGCAGUGGGGGAUAUUGCACAAUGGGGGGAACCCUGAUGCAGCGACGCCGCGUGGGUGAAGGAGCGUUUCGGCGCGUAAAGCCCUAUCGGCAGGGAAGAAGGAGGACGGUACCUGACUAAGAAGCCCCGGCUAACUACGUGCCAGCAGCCGCGGUAAUACGUAGGGUGCAAGCGUUAUCCGGAUUUACUGGGUGUAAAGGGGGCGCAGACGGCAGCGCAAGCCAGGAGUGAAAGCCCGGGGCCCAACCCCGGGACUGCUCUUGGAACUGCGCGGCUGGAGUGCAGGAGGGGCAGGCGGAAUUCCUGGUGUAGCGGUGAAAUGCGUAGAUAUCAGGAGGAACACCGGUGGCGAAGGCGGCCUGCUGGACUGCGACUGACGUUGAGGCCCGAAAGCGUGGGGAGCAAACAGGAUUAGAUACCCUCGUA
This 446-nucleotide ribosomal RNA is filed under the name uncultured bacterium. Its description in RNAcentral is "bacterial SSU rRNA". It matches the Rfam family "Bacterial small subunit ribosomal RNA", at positions 330 to 792 of the family's 1533-position model. The record is from RNAcentral.